Molecule: unclassified non-coding RNA, 259 nt
Filed under: Hevea brasiliensis (rubber tree)
Lineage: Eukaryota; Viridiplantae; Streptophyta; Magnoliopsida; Malpighiales; Euphorbiaceae
Source: RNAcentral
GUUGUAUUUAAUGCUACCAGUUAUUCUGUGACACUAUACUUAAUAAUGCCACCCAAGUGAAAACUUACAGAGAAGGUUUAUGUUCAAAAGAUUUUGUUGGAUAAACUGGACUCACAGUACAUAACAGAUUCGUAGUUUGGACUAUUAUUAUUUGGGGAAGGAAAAAAAGCGAUGGUGAUGAUCAUUGUCAAGCUGAAACCUUGGUAAUAUAUUUAAUUUAUGUAGACAUUCAAGAGGUUUAUGUUUGUUGAAUAAAAUA